AUGCCCAAGAGAACUCUCUACAGGAUGAGCCUGUGCACUAGAGAAGGGGUUACAGAGGCUACGGCCAGAGGAAGCUUUGUGACAGCUGCGCCUAGGGAGAGUCUUCACGACCCCUGUGCUUGGAGAAUGUACGACCGAAGGAGAGGCUGGGUACAAUUUACCAGCAGAACCCUACAGAGGAAAAGACCACAACCACAGACAAAGGAGACCAGGAAGCAGAGAAAUCCUGAGGACAAGGCCCAUGUACACCAGCAGUCUGCUGUUUGUGACCAAAAUGACCAUUUGGAGACAUCAAACAACCAGUCCUCAACCAGCAACUGA
Molecule: long non-coding RNA, 321 nt
Filed under: Canis lupus familiaris (dog)
Lineage: Eukaryota; Metazoa; Chordata; Mammalia; Carnivora; Canidae
Description: lncRNA (ENSCAFG00040014120.1)
Source: RNAcentral